This 406-nucleotide ribosomal RNA is filed under the name uncultured bacterium. RNAcentral describes it as "partial 16S ribosomal RNA". It matches the Rfam family "Bacterial small subunit ribosomal RNA", at positions 30 to 526 of the family's 1533-position model. The record is from RNAcentral.
AUUGAACGCUGGCGGCAGGCUUAACACAUGCAAGUCGAGCGAGCGGCGGACGGGUGAGUAAUGUCUGGGAAACUGCCUGAUGGAGGGGGAUAACUACUGGAAACGGUAGCUAAUACCGCAUACCAUCGGAUGUGCCCAGAUGGGAUUAGCUAGUAGGUGGGGUAAUGGCUCACCUAGGCGACGAUCCCUAGCUGGUCUGAGAGGAUGACCAGCCACACUGGAACGGAGAAACGGUCCAGACUCCUACGGGAGGCAGCAGUGGGGAAUAUUGCACAUGGGGCGCAAGCCUGCUGCAGCCAUGCCGCGUGUGUGAAGAAGGCCUUCGGGUUGUAAAGUACUUUCAGCGAGGAGGAGUUACUCGCAGAAGAGGAGCCGGCUAACUCCGUGCCAGCCGCCGCGGUAAUAC